GAUGAACGCUGGCGGCGUGCCUAAUACAUGCAAGUCGAGCGAACGGACGAGAAGCUUGCUUCUCUGAUGUUAGCGGCGGACGGGUGAGUAACACGUGGAUAACCUACCUAUAAGACUGGGAUAACUUCGGGAAACCGGAGCUAAUACCGGAUGAUAUUUUGAACCGCAUGGUUCAAAAGUGAAGGACGGUCUUGCUGUCACUUAUAGAUGGAUCCGCGCUGCAUUAGCUAGUUGGUAAGGUAACGGCUUACCAAGGCAACGAUGCAUAGCCGACCUGAGAGGGUGAUCGGCCACACUGGAACUGAGACACGGUCCAGACUCCUACGGGAGGCAGCAGUAGGGAAUCUUCCGCAAUGGGCGAAAGCCUGACGGAGCAACGCCGCGUGAGUGAUGAAGGUCUUCGGAUCGUAAAACUCUGUUAUUAGGGAAGAACAUAUGUGUAAGUAACUGUGCACAUCUUGACGGUACCUAAUCGGAAAGCCACGGCUAACUACGUG
RNAcentral lists this ribosomal RNA (497 nucleotides) under uncultured bacterium. RNAcentral's name for it is "partial 16S ribosomal RNA". It matches the Rfam family "Bacterial small subunit ribosomal RNA", at positions 28 to 507 of the family's 1533-position model. The record is from RNAcentral.